CGCAUCUGUGCAUGCAGCAUAUCAAUAAGCGGAGGAAAAGAAACUAACAAGGAUUCCCCUAGUAACGGCGAGUGAAGCGGGAAGAGCUCAAAUUUGAAAUCUUAAAGGGUUUCCCUUUACGAAUUGUAGUUUAAAGAAGUGUUUUCUGUUGAGGUUUUGGUAAAAGUUCUUUGGAAUAGGACAUCAUAGAGGGUGAGAAUCCCGUAUUUGACCUUUACUUUCAACUUUGUGAUACACUUUCAAAGAGUCGGAUUGUUUGGGAAUGCAGUCCAAAAUGGGUGGUAAAUUUCAUCUAAAGCUAAAUAUUGGCGAGAGACCGAUAGCGAACAAGUACCGUGAGGGAAAGAUGAAAAGAACUUUGAAAAGAGAGUUAAACAGUACGUGAAAUUGUCAAAAGGGAAGCGUUUGACACCAGUGUUGUUUUUCUGAAAAUCAAUUAAAGAACUGUUUAUGCUAAGCUUGUUUAGACUUUAUCAGCUAAUCUGCUUAGUUUUGAGCUUUUCUUUAAUGCACUCUUCAGUUAACAAGUCAACAUCAAUUUCUUUUGCUGUAAAAAAGCUUGAGGAAGGUGGCUUGAGAUUCGUCUUAAGUGUUUAUAGCCUCUUGCCUAUGCAGUCGGAGAGAUUGAGGUCUGCAGCGUAGAUCCUUCGGGGCUAAAUGCAUUUGUGCUAAGUUAUAGCAUUUUAUAGACAACUUGUUGACUAUGAUUUGUCUUGUAGCUUACUCGCUUAUGUUAUUUUACCUACGCUUAGGAUGUUGAGCGCAUGUCUCUCUCU
Molecule: ribosomal RNA, 776 nt
Filed under: uncultured Neocallimastigales
Lineage: Eukaryota; Fungi; Neocallimastigomycota; Neocallimastigomycetes; Neocallimastigales
Description: partial large subunit ribosomal RNA
Rfam family: Eukaryotic large subunit ribosomal RNA
Source: RNAcentral